UGUGAUUUUUGAAGAAGAAAGGGAAACACGAUCGUUAAGAAAGUUUAAGCGGGAAGCAGCAGAGUGUGGAAUACGCCGGCAUAUUCCAGGUUACAACGAGGUCAUUCCGGACGAUUUGGAUUAGAAGUGGGUCGUUGGCCGAGUCCGUGUGUUGCUGUUCCUGUUGCUUGAAGCUCUUCCCAUUUGGUACUCUAUCGAUUUUCUAGCUUCUCUUUCUAUGUUGAACUCUGUGAGGUCCGCCUACCUGGGAGCGCGCCUCACCCCUUGUUUUAUUGUUAUUGUUGAACUCCUUUCAUUUCGGUUAUGAUGUAAGCCCUAAGGCAUCACAGUGCACUUGCCCACUUUAUUUUGUUGCUUUUCCAGA
Long non-coding RNA from Rosa chinensis, 364 nucleotides. RefSeq lists it as uncharacterized. Lineage: Eukaryota; Viridiplantae; Streptophyta; Magnoliopsida; Rosales; Rosaceae. The record is from RefSeq and is a predicted model, not a curated record. The transcript has 3 exons.